UUUUCCCCUAGAGGUAUUGGAUGCAUGACUACUGUGUCAUACGUGUGUCAGUAGGUGACAGAGAGGAGAGAGUCUAUGCCUAUGCUCGGUGUUCUGACCUAUGAACAUCUGAGUGAUUAAUAGGCUAACAUU
This is a small nucleolar RNA of Apodemus sylvaticus (European woodmouse), 132 nucleotides long. RefSeq annotates it as small nucleolar RNA SNORA17. The record is from RefSeq and is a predicted model, not a curated record. NCBI's taxonomy places the organism in Eukaryota, Metazoa, Chordata, Mammalia, Rodentia, Muridae. The transcript has a single exon.